GCCACAACUGUCAGGAUCCUGUCUCCGAGCACCUGCCUGACAAGUAGUCCCACCAUGAGGGGAACCAAAAACCCAAAACAACCACAACCAAAAGGCCUCUUCCAGCCAUGGGAAGCCAGCCAGCCCUUGCUCUUUUCAGACCCGCUCAGCCAGGGUCUGCAAGGCCAUCUCAGCUAGCUUGGGUACAUCAAGGCCCCCAACCAACCUGUGUUCUGUGAGUGCCUGCUCUAUGCCUAAACUUGCCAAGAGAGAAGAACCAGAGCUGAUCCCUGGCCCUGCCUGACAGCGAUCUGGGCAGCUUACAGGGGGGCAUCUGUGAGGUCCAGUGCCAAGCAGGACUGCAGUAGCUGUAGAAUAAUACAUUUCUUGCAGGGGUUUGGCCUCAAGCAGGGAUUUGGUUCCUCAGCCUGUGGGGCUGCUGCUGCUGUUUCUGCAUCUGAGGCUGUGGCCCAGAGCCUGUAAGACAGGGCAAGCAUUCAAGGAGGAUGACAGAUGUCAAGUGUAGGAAGAAAGACCAAGUGGCCCCCGCGGCUGCACAGGACCCGCAAGGACCAACUGAAACUGCUUUGAUCUCUAGUAGGAGAGGCCAGAGCGGGGGCCACAGCAGGACCCGAAAGUGGCCACCAGCAGUUGCCCCACGCUGACCAGGUGAGCCAGGGGGUCAGGCACACGGCCUGCACGGACCUAUGAGUGGUCAGGCUGCUCCCAUGCUGCAGCCUUCUGCGUCACAACAUGUGUUUCAGGCUGCCUUGGAACUAUUCAGAGAAGACAAUUCUGAGGAAUAACGGCCAGCUCAGCUAAGAUGACCUGACAUAAACCACCCAACAGGUAUCCAGGACGCAACCUAACAGGACCACAGAAAUGGGAGCAAUUUCAAGAGGACAGACAGACUCUGCCCCCUGCCCUGCCAACACCCGCAGCCACGAUUGCCUUUCCUCCUCCUCCCCAUUCUCCUUUUCCGUCUCGCCGCAAGCCCAGAUUUCGUGCUGAGCCCUGCACAUGAAGUGUCUCCCUUAAAUGUCAUAAAGACCCCAUUCUACAGAUGAAGACACCAACGCAUUGAGGGCAUGAACAACAAGCCCAGAGGUACCCUGUCCCUCCACAGAGCUGGAUCCAGACCCAGUCUAGACCUAUUCCAGAGCCCAGCCUCACUGUGUCUGGGGCACGAUGGUCCCUGGCCUGGAGUGAAGAACACGAGAUCCGAACCUUCAGAGUACGCCUCUCUGCCUCAGCCAAGCUCUCUGUUCUGGAACCUCUGCAGGUUAUUUCUAAUUGAGAAGGUGCAGCAAAGCAGUUAGGGACCUGGACUCUCAAAUCCAGUACAGUCACAUGUUCUCAGCCACACGACCUGGGGAAGGCACCCAGCCACUCGCAGGCUGGAAGGAGGUUACAGAGGUCACCGAGGCACAGCCCUCACAGGAGAUGUGGGUGGCAUGGGCACUCAGGAAGUUAGCUGUUAUCAGUCAUUAUUCCUUGACACCCACUCUGCCUGUUUGUUCCCUCAAACUUCUUGCAAGAGAACUAUGAAGAGGUUGGGAUUCUUGCUGAUUUAUGGUCAUUACUGAUGAUGUCACGACUGUCCACUCAGGGCCCAAGGACACCAGGACAAGUUAGCAGCCUGCACAGGAAUCCAGGA
Molecule: long non-coding RNA, 1636 nt
Filed under: Homo sapiens (human)
Lineage: Eukaryota; Metazoa; Chordata; Mammalia; Primates; Hominidae
Description: HSALNT0161993
Source: RNAcentral